CGGAUUGUAGUCUGCAACUCGACUACAUGAAGCUGGAAUCGCUAGUAAUCGCGGAUCAGAAUGCCGCGGUGAAUACGUUCCCGGGUCUUGUACACACCGCCCGUCACACCAUGGGAGUCGGAAAUGCCCGAAGUCUGUGACCCAACCGCGAGGAGGGAGCAGCCGAAGGCAGGUCGGAUGACUGGGGUGAAGUCGUAACAAGGUAUC
This 207-nucleotide ribosomal RNA is filed under the name uncultured bacterium. Its description in RNAcentral is "partial 16S ribosomal RNA". It matches the Rfam family "Bacterial small subunit ribosomal RNA", at positions 1294 to 1500 of the family's 1533-position model. The record is from RNAcentral.